GGGGCAUUAGCUAAGUUGGUAUAGCGCUACGUUCGCAUCGUAGAGGCCAGCGGUUCGAAUCCGCUAUGCUCCA
This 73-nucleotide transfer RNA is filed under the name Clostridiales bacterium. RNAcentral's name for it is "tRNA-Ala". It matches the Rfam family "tRNA". Rfam says of the family: Transfer RNA (tRNA) molecules are approximately 80 nucleotides in length. Their secondary structure includes four short double-helical elements and three loops (D, anti-codon, and T loops). The record is from RNAcentral. Lineage: Bacteria; Bacillati; Bacillota; Clostridia; Eubacteriales.